AUUUAUUUAUUGAUGUACAUGAUCAAUAUGAUAAUUUGCUGCCAUAUUUACAAGACACCUUUCUUCCAUUAUACUUCCAGACAUAUCACAGUUUCUCGUAUUUUUGUUUGGUCAAAUUUUAUACUAAUACUGGAUGCAUGAAUACAGCUUGCCAUACAUGUUAUUAGUGAACCAACACUAACACAUAUUUUUUUAGGAAGUAGCCAAUAUAUAACUGAUGGUGGCAGUACAAUACGUAUAUACUGGAUAGGUUCGGGCAAUAUGUAAAACUGAGAAAGAACGAGAGCUAUAGGUAUGCUGUUGUUAUUGCUCAUCACAUUCCAUAUUGCUCAUCAAAUACAAAACUGGAAUGUUCAGUAUUCCUUUUUCAUGAGCUCUUAACUAUUCCACUCAAUCAUAUAUAUUUUAUAGCAUAAAUAUGAUCUGCUAUGAGGUGUGCACAUUUUGAUACUUGUUAGCACUGUGGUUGUCAAUGGAUGUUUGGCUGUUUAUUUGUAGAUGGAACUUUUGUGGGGUAUGGAUAAUGUUUUUUAGUUUUUGAGCUAAGUCACUACUACUUUAAUUAAGGUAGUUAUGGAUAAUUAGUUCACACAUAGGAAAUUGAUAUGUUGCAGUGUUUACCAGGCAUGGCGUGGUUUGCCAGGUCGUCACCAAGUCCCCAACGCUGUCACCAGCCGGACCUACGACUAUACUAAGAUGAGUCUUCAUCUCUAAAAGCUUCUGUAAACUAUAUAAUGGAUCUAUUAUUCUAACCAGCAAUGAAUUUAAGUAGCAAAUUCGUUUGUCAAUGGUUAGUUGUAUAAUUGCCUGCCAACACUGACACUAAUUGACAGCCAACCAUGACCAUCAAUUUAAUUUCACUUAUUAAUUUCCAACUAUUUUUCCAGAUAAGGCUCAAUAUAUAUGAAGCUAUGAAACUUACAUACGAACAUGACUUGACUCUUGGUUGUGAAUUAUUAAUGGAGAACAUGCAACCAAUGUUUUUGAAUGAUUUUGCACAUGAAUUAUCCGGUUAUUGUUCACUAUGGGUGCAUGUGUAUUAUUGGGUUUGAGCCUUAGGCAUGCAACAAUGAGAUCUAUUUGUAUUGUCUUCUUAACUACUUAAUCCGAAAUCAUUCAUCAAGUUUGAUCUUAAAUAUUAUCACAAUACUUUUGAUACAACAAAAAUUAUUUCAACUUGCCAUGUGGAAAAUCCAGUAAGAGCAUAUCCAUGUGUAUGUUUCCUAUGAAUGGUACGGGAUUUGCAAACUUAAAAGAUAUUAGAUAUUUGACAAAUUUUUUAACCAAAAAUGUUUGAAUUAUUUGUUCUGAUAUGGCUGUUUGACUGAUUGCAAUGAUGAUUGUUCGUAGUUUUUUCGAACUGUGUAAGCAUAGAUUUACAUUUUGUAGACCCGGUGCAACGCACAGGGCUUUUAUUACAUGAAAGGACUUAUUAUCCUGACAGUCAUAAUUUCAAGAUUUUCAUAAGUGUUUGUUUAUUUGUUUGUUGUCUGCCAUGUUAAGAAUUGCAUGCAUGCUUUUAUUGAUAUAAAAUGUGCUUCAGAAAAUCACGUGUUAUGAAUCCAUGCUAUAAUUUUGAAGGUGAACAUACAGAAAAUGCAAGAUAAAACAUACUAAUAUAACAACUAUUACAAUUUUAGAGAAGAUAAAGAUCCAGAAUUGUUCGUACCUAGAGGAACUCGCCUUCUAGAUGGUCCUUGCUUACACAAGGUACUCCUUGGGUAAUUUUCCUCCAGGUCUGCUGUUGUGAUGGCCGAACGAACAGCAAGGAGGGGGAGGACGGAUGGCAGACAAGGUUAACAUAUAUAGGUAGGACAUGCGGAGAAUAACUGGGUAGCAGAUCAUGGCUGAAUAUAGUUAUACCAUAUAUAACCUUGUUUUCUACCAUAUAUACCAUUGUUGAUGGUGCAGAUAUGUUUCCUUUUUCCAUCAAAUGCACACCUGUUAAUAAAUAAGAAAAGAUGUAAAAAAUCAUAUCUUACUAAAGAAUUAAAUUAUUGUAAUAACUAAAUAAAAAGAUUUUCAUUGCUUGCAUGCCAAAGUUUAGCUACAGCAAAAAUAAAUUCACGGCAUGCACAAUAAACAUUUUCCUACUUAGAUACUUUUGUAUGAUUUAACAGUUUGUACUAAUACUUCAUUCCAUAUUAUGGUAGUAAUGUACAGUCUCAAUUUACUUUUUGUAGUUGUAAUAUCUGAGAGACCACACAAGUUCGAUGAAUGCUUUCAAUUCGAGUUUCUCCAUGGUUUCCCAAUGCCAAAGGUUACCAAUAUUAAUUCUGGAUGCAUGAAAUCAACUACUUAUUUUAGCGCUGAUGUUGAUCAGUAGGCAUUGACAUGAUAAGUACAUAUAGUUAUUUUUGCCAAAUAUAAUUCAUGACUUUAUGGAUCUUUUGCAAUAUCGUGUAUGGACUUUACUAUUUAGGGCUGCCCGUGCGUUGAUGUGGGAGUUAUAGUAAUUAUACAAGUAUAGUAAGCUAUACUUAUGCUACGUACUGUACAUGGAAUAAAACUUGCAUUCACUGCUAU
RNAcentral lists this long non-coding RNA (2526 nucleotides) under Triticum aestivum (bread wheat). RNAcentral describes it as "long non-coding RNA (TAES_LNC007026)". Lineage: Eukaryota; Viridiplantae; Streptophyta; Magnoliopsida; Poales; Poaceae. The record is from RNAcentral.